AUCUGAAAGGAACAAAUCAAAUGUAAUAUCACUGCAGCGACUGCAUAUUGAUUCUUCAAAUUGGAAAACAUUGUCAUAGAAACUAGUACAAAAAGUUCAUCAUUUUUACAUAUUAAGAACAUUUAGGUACAUGCUGGGAGCAUCUAGAGGUAGGGAGGGAGCUGCUCCAACUCCGCGAGAAAGCAGCCUAAUUCAGCUCAUCUCACCUUUUCUUUUUCUGCCCAGCAUAGGCAUUUCCAGCAGCUUUCUUCUGCCCAGCAACAUUUCCAGUGGCUUUCUUCUGCCCAGCAACAUUUCCAGUGGCUUUCUUCUGCCCAGUUUUAGCGUUUCCAGUGGCCUUCGUCUGCCCAGCAUGUGCUGUUCUGUUUCCAGUCCGAACUGC
Molecule: long non-coding RNA, 382 nt
Filed under: Brachypodium distachyon (stiff brome)
Lineage: Eukaryota; Viridiplantae; Streptophyta; Magnoliopsida; Poales; Poaceae
Description: long non-coding RNA (BDIS_LNC003197)
Source: RNAcentral